RNAcentral lists this ribosomal RNA (253 nucleotides) under uncultured bacterium. Its description in RNAcentral is "partial 16S ribosomal RNA". It matches the Rfam family "Bacterial small subunit ribosomal RNA", at positions 524 to 776 of the family's 1533-position model. The record is from RNAcentral.
UACAGAGGGUGCGAGCGUUAAUCGGAAUUACUGGGCGUAAAGCGUGCGUAGUCGGUUAUCUAAGUCAGGUGUGAAAUCCCCGGGCUCAACCUGGGAAUUGCAUUUGAUACUGGAUAGCUAGAGUUCGGCAGAGGGAAGUGGAAUUUCUGGUGUAGCGGUGAAAUGCGUAGAUAUCAGAAGGAACAUCAGUGGCGAAAGCGACUUCCUGGACCAGAACUGACGAUCAGGCACGAAAGCGUGGGGAGCAAACAGG